Sardina pilchardus (European sardine) is the source of this 269-nucleotide long non-coding RNA. RefSeq lists it as uncharacterized. The transcript is spliced from 3 exons. Lineage: Eukaryota; Metazoa; Chordata; Actinopteri; Clupeiformes; Clupeidae. The record is from RefSeq and is a predicted model, not a curated record.
GUAAAACAGAUAGGCAGAGAUGAGAAGUGUCGAAGUACAAAUACUUAAUCCUUAAGUAACCUACUGUACUUAAGCAGGAUUUUCAGACAGGUCUAGCUCAACGGUAAAGUAAGGAAGUGAGCAACGACAUGCUUCCAAGGUACAUGGCUGUGCUACUUUUCCUGGUGUUGGUAUCUGUUGCCAUCAACUUUGUGUGGAAUAACUCUACUGCACUCACCAGCGAUGGAUAUGAGGAAAUCAAAGGGGAUGUUCAGAGAUUCAUUGCAAAG